GACGAACGCUGGCGGCGUGCUUAACACAUGCAAGUCGAACGGAAAGGCCCGGCUUUUGUGGGGUGCUCGAGUGCCGAACGGGGGAGAAUCACGCGAGGAACCUGUCCCUUACUUUGGGGUAACUUCAGGGAACUCGGGCGAAUACCGGAUAUGAGCUCCUGCUGCAUGGGUGUUGUUGGUGAGUGUCGGCGUUUUGGGAUGGACUCGCGGCUUAUCAGCGUGUUGGUGAGGUAGUGGCUUACCAGGGCUUUGACGGGUCGCCGGCCUGAGAGGGUGACCGGGCACAAUGGGACUGAGGUAGGGGCCAGACUGCUACGUGAGGCAGCAGGGGGGAAUAUUGCACAAUGGGCGGAAGCAUGAUGCAGCGACGCCGCGUGCGGGAUGACGGCUUUCGGGGUGUAAACCGCUUUCGACUGUGACGAAGAGUGAGUGACGGUAACUGGUCAGGAAGCAACGGCUAACUACGUG
RNAcentral lists this ribosomal RNA (468 nucleotides) under uncultured bacterium. RNAcentral describes it as "partial 16S ribosomal RNA". It matches the Rfam family "Bacterial small subunit ribosomal RNA", at positions 28 to 507 of the family's 1533-position model. The record is from RNAcentral.